RNAcentral lists this transfer RNA (72 nucleotides) under Candidatus Curtissbacteria bacterium RIFCSPHIGHO2_01_FULL_41_11. RNAcentral describes it as "tRNA-Ile". It matches the Rfam family "tRNA". Rfam says of the family: Transfer RNA (tRNA) molecules are approximately 80 nucleotides in length. Their secondary structure includes four short double-helical elements and three loops (D, anti-codon, and T loops). Further hydrogen bonds mediate the characteristic L-shaped molecular structure. tRNAs have two regions of fundamental functional importance: the anti-codon, which is responsible for specific mRNA codon recognition, and the 3' end, to which the tRNAs corresponding amino acid is attached (by aminoacyl-tRNA synthetases). tRNAs cope with the degeneracy of the genetic code in two manners: having more than one tRNA (with a specific anti-codon) for a particular amino acid; and 'wobble' base-pairing, i.e. permitting non-standard base-pairing at the 3rd anti-codon position. The record is from RNAcentral. Lineage: Bacteria; Candidatus Curtissiibacteriota.
GGGCUCGUAGCUCAGCGGCAGAGCGCCACUCUUAUAAAGUGGAUGUCGAUGGUUCGAAUCCAUCCGAGCCCA